CNGGAUGUGCUUCACAUCAGUCACUUGGGGAA
Molecule: non-coding RNA, 32 nt
Filed under: Homo sapiens (human)
Lineage: Eukaryota; Metazoa; Chordata; Mammalia; Primates; Hominidae
Source: RNAcentral